GUAAAUGCAAACAUGGUACUUACUUAAAAAUAGUAAAUUGACCUUAAUCAGUUUUUAUCAACCUGCUUUUAACACUUGCUUUUAGUGAGUUACUUGUACUUUGAGGUUGAAAAAUCUUACCAGCUCAGUCUACGUGAGCUGGAUUAAUAUAGAAAAAGUAAGUUUAUGACAUGUGGACAUGCGCAGAUCAGUCCUCUCUGACAUGCCUAAACCCAACCAAUCAAGGUGCUUCGUGGGGCGGGUCUUGGAUUUGCGGGAAUCGAAAUUUUGCAGACGGUCGUUAUGUCACCUCACCACAUGCUGCAACUGACCAGGUGGAGCUGGACCUAAACAUCGCUUCUACGGCACUUGUGAUUAUCUUCAGCCGAUAUUAUUUUGCUUGGCACACUCAUUUGGUGAGUAAAUAUUUUACCCGUGUGCACAUCGUUUUGUUUCUGUAAGUCAGCCCCAGUGUUUUGUGCUUGAUAUGCGUGUAGUAAUGUCUGCUUACGCUAGCUAACUAUAUAUUAUAGACAUAACGUGGCUAUAUUUUGCUGAAACUUGGUAAAUACUUUAUUUUUUCAAUCCACAACUUCCUCGGUGUUGAAAAUUGGUAAGUUAAGACUUUUGACACGUUGAAAUUCAGGAAUAACUUCAGUGUUAUGCGGCGCCUCAAGAAUCGACAGCGGGAUGACGUCAAAGUAUCGCGAGAGCGAGACGAAAUAAGAUUUGCUUGAAUCAUUCUCGCGGUACUUUGACGUCAUCCGGCUGUCGGUUCUUGCGGCGCCGCAUGAAGUCGAAGAAGCAUAGUAAGGCUCAAGCAGAAUGGUAAUCAAUCCUCCUCACAUUCCAUAAUCCCAGCAAUAAAAGAUACUGUGGACAGUCCAUCAUACCCAGGACUACAGUAUCCUAGAUGCCAACCACAUAAUGGAAGAAAUGAAGAAAAAACAACCAAAUGUGGCACUCUCAUUUCACAAAUGAUGGACCAAUCAUUCCCACUAUGCAGACAAGAAAUUGUAAAAAACAAGGGCCUGCUGUACAGAACAUGGUUAAACGAUGGCCAGCACUUUUCACAGAGAGACGGGUGUUUGCUGAGUUUAAUAGAAUCGCCAGUAAGAAUCUUGAGGGAGACUUGAGGCUUUGGACCAGUAUUCCCCACGUUUCAUCAAACUUUUCAAAACCAAAAGGGAAACUUAAGGACUGAGUUGGCCAGAAACUCAAGGAGCUGAUGCAGCACAUGAGCUGGCUGACACAAGACGUGACAGUACUUCGCUCAUUUGUCCUCAAAGGCAUGACGACUCCAGUGAAUUCUACAAGACCUGCUCUGAUGCAGCGAGAGACAAGGCUCUAGAACGCAUCACUGUUGGUGUCCUGACGGUUGUCAGUGAAGAUAGUCCUCACGAAGCUUAGUGGUCCUCCAGCCCAUCUCCACUGCCAUCAUUCUGGAGGGAGGUAUUGUUAUGGAUAAUGUUAAGAACUUGCCUCAAGUCUUUUGUUUGGGCUUACAUAUGCAUUGCAUUUGGAUUACCCAAAAUGCAUGGCAAAUACACUCAACUUCAUUCAGACUGUGAUGCUUGGACUGGGAAAGAAAAACCUCCCACCAAAACGGUUGACUCUGAAGAACAGUCUUCUGGGUUAGAACAAUAAAGAGCUGUCAGAUAGCACUUUGUAAGCUUUGCAGCUAUUAAUGUUCUCCUGUUAUUAGACACAGUUUGAUGUUUUCAUGCAACUGUAUUUGCUUCUGAUCUUAAUAAAAAAAGAAAUUCUAUUAAAGUCUGUAAUGUUAUGCAGGUAUGCUAAUGUUGGAAACAGAGCCACCGUGUUUUAUUAAGAGUUGUUUAUUAAGUGUUAGUAUUAGAUAAUAAUGUCAGAAAAUAACCUACCACGGUUGUCCUGUUAACAUUUGUGUUUUAGGAAAGCUUUUUAUAGUUGUAAUGUAGUACAAAUACAAACCCCAAGGAGUGAUGUUUUUGUUUGUGUUGCUUUAAUCCUUUCACUGCUCACUUUGGGACACAAAAGCAUUUGUUGUACUUUCAGUUUAAAAUGCAAUUUUUAACUGAAUACAUUUUUUAAAUGUAAAAAAAGUUAAAUUUUAACUGUCUACAUUUAAAUAAACCACAACUUUGUUUAGCUGCUGUUAUGUACGUGAAUGUGCAUUGAAUAAAUGAUGUAAUGUAGCUGAA
This is a non-coding RNA of Misgurnus anguillicaudatus (oriental weatherfish), 2162 nucleotides long. Lineage: Eukaryota; Metazoa; Chordata; Actinopteri; Cypriniformes; Cobitidae. The record is from RefSeq and is a predicted model, not a curated record.